This 253-nucleotide ribosomal RNA is filed under the name uncultured bacterium. RNAcentral describes it as "partial 16S ribosomal RNA". It matches the Rfam family "Bacterial small subunit ribosomal RNA", at positions 524 to 776 of the family's 1533-position model. The record is from RNAcentral.
UACAGAGGUCUCAACCGUUGUUCGGAUUCAUUGGGCGUAAAGGGUGCGUAGGCGGCGGGGUAAGUCAGGGGUGAAAUCUCGGGGCUCAACCCCGAAACUGCACUUGAUACUGCCUCGCUUGAGUACUGGAGAGGAGACUGGAAUUUACGGUGUAGCAGUGAAAUGCGUAGAUAUCGUAAGGAAGACCAGUGGCGAAGGCGAGUCUCUGGACAGUUACUGACGCUGAGGCACGAAGGCCAGGGGAGCAAACGGG